GAUGAACGCUGGCGGCGUGCCUAAUACAUGCAAGUCGAGCGAACAGACGAUGAGCUUGCUCCUCUGACGUUAGCGGCGGACGGGUGAGUAACACGUGGAUAACCUACCUAUAUUACUUGUAUAACUUCGGGAAACCGGAGCUAAUACCGGAUAAUAUAUUUAACCUCAUGGUUCAAUAGUUAAAUACGUUUUUUCUGUCUCUUAUAGAUGUAUCCGCGCCGCAUUAGCUAGUUGGUAAGGUAACGGCUUACCAAGGCGACGAUGCGUAGCCGACAUGAGAGGGUGAUCGGCCACACUGGAACUGAGACACGGUCCAGACUCCUACGGGAGGCAGCAGUAGGGAAUAUUCCGCAAUGGGCGAAAGCAUGACGGAGCAACGCCGCGUGAGUGAUGAAGGUCUUCGGAUCGUAAAACUCUGUUAUUAGGGAAGAACAAAUGUGUAAGUAACUAUGCACGUCUUGACGGUACCUAAUCAGAAAGCAACGGCUAACUACGUG
This 497-nucleotide ribosomal RNA is filed under the name uncultured bacterium. Its description in RNAcentral is "partial 16S ribosomal RNA". It matches the Rfam family "Bacterial small subunit ribosomal RNA", at positions 28 to 507 of the family's 1533-position model. The record is from RNAcentral.